GGAUGUGAGGGCGAUCUGGCUGUGACAUCUGUCACCCCAUUGAUGGCCAGGGUUGAUUCGGCUGAUCUGGUUGGCUAGGCAAGUGUCCCCUACCUCCCUCAUUGCUCCAUGUGCAUCCCUCCCAAAGCUGCACGCUCAGUCGCAGAGGACAACCUUCCCUGAAUAGAGGAGGACCGGUCUUAGGUCAAGGGUAUAGAGUAGCUCCACUUCCCUGCUAGAAACUCCAAACAAGCUCUCAAAAUAAACAGUGCUAUCUUAGAACACCCUCUACUUAGUCUGCUCUGGACUCUGUGCUAUGGAGCACCCUAGCUGUC
Mesocricetus auratus (golden hamster) is the source of this 314-nucleotide unclassified non-coding RNA. Its record names the gene 7SK. It matches the Rfam family "7SK RNA". From Rfam's summary of the family: 7SK was discovered as an abundant small nuclear RNA in the mid-70s but a possible function has only recently been suggested. Two independent studies have found that 7SK RNA binds the CDK9/cyclin T complex (known as elongation factor P-TEFb). The record is from Ensembl. Lineage: Eukaryota; Metazoa; Chordata; Mammalia; Rodentia; Cricetidae.